CCUACGGGAGGCAGCAGUGAGGAAUAUUGGUCAAUGGGCGCGAGCCUGAACCAGCCAAGUAGCGUGAAGGAUGACUGCCCUACGGGUUGUACACUUCUUUUAUAUGGGAAUAAAAUGUUCCACGUGUGGGAUUUUGUAUGUACCAUAUGAAUAAGGAUCGGCUAACUCCGUGCCAGCAGCCGCGGUAAUACGGAGGAUCCGAGCGUUAUCCGGAUUUAUUGGGUUUAAAGGGAGCGUAGGUGGAUUGUUAAGUCAGUUGUGAAAGUGUGCGGCUCAACCGUAAAAGUGCAGUUGAAACUGGCAGUCUUGAGUACAGUAGAGGUGGGCGGAAUUCGUGGUGUAGCGGUGAAAUGCUUAGAUAUCACGAAGAACUCCGAUUGCGAAGGCAGCUCACUGGACUGCAACUGACACUGAGGCUCGAAAGUGUGGGUAUCAAACAGGAUUAGAUACCCUAGUAGUC
Molecule: ribosomal RNA, 460 nt
Filed under: uncultured bacterium
Lineage: Bacteria
Description: partial 16S ribosomal RNA
Rfam family: Bacterial small subunit ribosomal RNA
Source: RNAcentral